CCUACGGGUGGCAGCAGUGAGGAAUAUUGGUCAAUGGGGGAAACCCUGAACCAGCAACGCCGCGUGAGGGAAGACGGUUUUCGGAUUGUAAACCUCUGUCCUCUGUGACGAUAAUGACGGUAGCAGAGGUGGAAGCUCCGGCUAACUACGUGCCAGCAGCCGCGGUAAUACGUAGGGCGCAAGCGUUGGCCGGAUUUACGGGGUGUAAAGGGUGAGUAGGCUGCCCUGCAAGUUAGACGUGAAAUCCAUGGGCUUAAGCUGUGAACGGCUUUUGAGACUGUAGGGCUUGAGUGCAGUAGAGGCAGGUGGAAGUCCAGGUGUAGCAGUGAAAUGCGUAGAGAUAUGGAAGAACACAAGUGGCGGAGGCAGCCUGCUGGG
RNAcentral lists this ribosomal RNA (378 nucleotides) under uncultured bacterium. RNAcentral's name for it is "partial 16S ribosomal RNA". It matches the Rfam family "Bacterial small subunit ribosomal RNA", at positions 338 to 733 of the family's 1533-position model. The record is from RNAcentral.